GUCUUUUUGNGAAUAAUUUAAAGUCAAAUCUGCCCACUGAAUUUAUUUAAAGGGCUGCAGUAUAUUGACUGUACAAAGGUAGCAUAAUCAUUAGUCUUUUAAUUGAAGACUUGUAUGAAUGAUUUGAUGAGAUAUAGACUGUCUCUUUAUUAAAAGUAGAAUUUAAUUUUUUAGUUAAAAAGCUAAAAUAUUUUUAAAAGACGAGAAGACCCUAUAGAGUUUUAUAUUUUAUUGAAUUUAAAUUUUAUAUAAAUUUUAAAAUUUAAAUUUAAUAAAAUAUUUUGUUGGGGUGAUAGAAAAAUUUAAUAAACUUUUUUUAAAAAAUUUACAUUAAUUUAUGAAUAUAUGAUCCAUAAUUUAUGAUUAUAAGAAUAAAUUACCUUAGGGAUAACAGCGUAAUUUUUUUUUUUAGUUCAAAUAAAAAUUAAAGUUUGCGACCUCGAUGUUGGAUUAAGAUAAAAUUUAAAUGCAAAAGUUUAAAAUUUUGAUCNGUUCNAUCAUUAAAAUCUUACA
RNAcentral lists this ribosomal RNA (513 nucleotides) under Colotis elgonensis. Its description in RNAcentral is "partial 16S ribosomal RNA". The record is from RNAcentral. Lineage: Eukaryota; Metazoa; Arthropoda; Insecta; Lepidoptera; Pieridae.